AGUGAACGCUGGCGGUAGGCCUAACACAUGCAAGUCGAACGGCAGCACAGUAAUAGCUUGCUCUUACGGGUGGCGAGUGGCGGACGGGUGAGGAAUACAUCCUAAUCUACCUUUUCGUGGGGGAUAACGUAGGUAAACUUACGCUCAUACCGCAUACGACCUACGGUUGAAAGCAUUGGAUCUUCGGACCUUGCGCGAUUGAAUGAGCCGAUGUCGGAUUAGCUAGUUGGCGGGGUAAAGGCCCACCAAGGCGACGAUCCGUAGCUGGUCUGAGAGGAUGAUCAGCCACACGGGAAAUGAGACACGGUCAAGACUCCUACGGGAGGCAGCAGUGGGGAAUAUUGGACAAUGGGCGCAAGCCUGAUCCAGCCAUACCGCGUGGGUGAAGAAGGCCUUCGGGUUGUAAAGACCUUUUGUUGGGAAAGAAAAGCAGCAGGUUAAUACCCCGCUGUUCUGACGGUACCCAAAGAAUAAGCACCGGCUAACUUCGUG
RNAcentral lists this ribosomal RNA (492 nucleotides) under uncultured bacterium. RNAcentral describes it as "partial 16S ribosomal RNA". It matches the Rfam family "Bacterial small subunit ribosomal RNA", at positions 29 to 507 of the family's 1533-position model. The record is from RNAcentral.